UAUUGACUGUUUAACGAUAAACUUGCGACGAUCGACGCGCCACCACAUUUCAUAUAACGGAGGGUAUUAGAACUAACUUGGAGGUGAUGAUUUGGAGGUUAUUUGGUAAUUUGUGUACGAUAGUGAAAGAAGAUUUGCCAUGUGUAUGAGAUAGAUUGAAUAAUUGUAGAUCGUAGUAGACAUUGAAUAAAAGGUCUUCUUGUUUUGAUCGUAGUUCUGAAGUACAGACGUGUUUUUAUUAUGAACCUCCGACACUACAUUUUGGCGACGAGGUCUAAAUUAGGAUAUUGAGAUUGGUGUAAUUGGAAUAUUUAACAGUUAGUGAACUAGUGUGAUUGUGUGAUGAUUGUAUUUUGAUGUUACUGAUAUUGGAAAUUGGUAAGAGUUGUUAGCUUCCACCGUUGGACAUCGAAGGAAGAUUUUGAAUGGCAAGCAUAAGACUAAUGCACAUAGACGACAGUUGAAGGCUGCCUGCGAAUCUAAACGAGGUAGAACUGUGAUCCAACUUCCAAAUUCAACGAUGAAUAAGCGCAGAAGGGAGUCGAUCGAAGAAGAAGAUGAUUUCCGUGGAUUUUCGGAAGAUUCGAGGCCGGAAGAUCUUCGUGCAAAUAAGAAGUUCAAGCGAAUGAGGAGCCCUAUCAAUACGCGAUCCAGAACUGCGCAUAUCAGCUAGGCAUGGAUGUGCUGGAGCAAGAAGUUUGAAUUCGGAAGAUUAAAGUGAUUUGAAUUAUUGAAAUAUCCUAUCAAAUUUUGUGAAUCAAUAUUAUGAAUGUUUUAUUAUUGUCUUUUCUUAAGGAGGGAGAACUGUAGUGUCUACCCUGUUCUGAAUCAAUUAUUAUAACCGUGUUAUCGAUCAACAUGAAAAGAUUACUGAGAUGAGAGUACUGAAUAAAGAGCUAGCUCAGUCUGCUCAGUCUAGAACUAGCCGUUGCAUGUGACGGAGGCAAAUCUAA
Long non-coding RNA from Aedes aegypti (yellow fever mosquito), 953 nucleotides. RefSeq lists it as uncharacterized. Lineage: Eukaryota; Metazoa; Arthropoda; Insecta; Diptera; Culicidae. The record is from RefSeq and is a predicted model, not a curated record. The transcript has 2 exons.